UACGUAGGGGCCGAGCGUUGUCCGGAGUUAUUGGGCGUAAAGCGCGCGCAGGCGGCCUCGCGCGCCCGACGUGAAAGCCCCCGGCUUAACCGGGGAGGGUCGUUGGGGACGGCGGGGCUUGAGGGCGGGAGAGGUCGGUGGAAUUCCCGGUGUAGUGGUGAAAUGCGUAGAGAUCGGGAGGAACACCCGUGGCGAAGGCGGCCAUCUGGACCAGUACUGACGCUGAGGCACGAAAGCGUGGGGAGCAAACAGG
RNAcentral lists this ribosomal RNA (253 nucleotides) under uncultured bacterium. RNAcentral's name for it is "partial 16S ribosomal RNA". It matches the Rfam family "Bacterial small subunit ribosomal RNA", at positions 524 to 776 of the family's 1533-position model. The record is from RNAcentral.